GAUGAAGAACGCAGCGAAAUGCGAUACUUGGUGUGAAUUGCAGAAUCCCGUGAACCAUCGAGUCUUUGAACGCAAGUUGCGCCCGAAGCCACUAGGCCGAGGGCACGCCUGCCUGGGCGUCACACGUCGUUGCCCCCCCCCCAUCUACUCCUUCGGGAUUGCGGGGGGCGGAUGAUGGCCUCCCGUGCGCCUAGCCGCGCGGUUGGCAUAAAUACCAAGUCCUCGGCGCCGCACGCCACGACAAUCGGUGGUUGCGAAACCUCGGUUGCCCGUCGUGUGCGUUCGUCGCGCAUCGAGGGCUCGAAAAAAUGCUCGGCUCCGGCUCGGCUUUCAACGCGACCCCAGGUCAGGCGGGGUUACCCGCUGAAUUUAAGCAUAUCAAUAAGCGGAGGA
This 393-nucleotide unclassified non-coding RNA is filed under the name soil metagenome. RNAcentral's name for it is "partial contains 5.8S ribosomal RNA, internal transcribed spacer 2, and large subunit ribosomal RNA". The stretch from base 1 to 122 matches the Rfam family "5.8S ribosomal RNA", at positions 35 to 154 of the family's 154-position model. The record is from RNAcentral.